UAGGGAAUCUUCCGCAAUGGACGCAAGUCUGACGGAGCAACGCCGCGUGAGUGAAGAAGGAUUUCGGUUCGUAAAACUCUGUUGUUAGAGAAGAACAGCGCAUAGAGUAACUGUUAUGCGUGUGACGGUAUCUAACCAGAAAGCCACGGCUAACUACGUGCCAGCAGCCGCGGUAAUACGUAGGUGGCAAGCGUUGUCCGGAUUUAUUGGGCGUAAAGCGAGCGCAGGCGGUCAAUUAAGUCUGAUGUGAAAGCCCCCGGCUCAACUGGGGAGGGUCAUUGGAAACUGGUUGACUUGAGUGCAGAAGAGGAGAGUGGAAUUCCAUGUGUAGCGGUGAAAUGCGUAGAUAUAUGGAGGAACACCAGUGGCGAAGGCGACUCUCUGGUCUGUAACUGACGCUGAGGCUCGAAAGCGUGGGUAGCAAACAGG
RNAcentral lists this ribosomal RNA (429 nucleotides) under Bacteroidota bacterium. RNAcentral describes it as "Bacteroidetes bacterium partial 16S ribosomal RNA". It matches the Rfam family "Bacterial small subunit ribosomal RNA", at positions 355 to 776 of the family's 1533-position model. The record is from RNAcentral. Lineage: Bacteria; Pseudomonadati; Bacteroidota.